Molecule: ribosomal RNA, 253 nt
Filed under: uncultured bacterium
Lineage: Bacteria
Description: partial 16S ribosomal RNA
Rfam family: Bacterial small subunit ribosomal RNA
Source: RNAcentral
UACGGGGGGUGCGAGCGUUGUCCGGAAUCACUGGGCGUAAAGGGCGCGUAGGUGGUUUGAUAAGGGUGUGGUGAAAGUCCGGAGCUCAACUCCGGAUCUGCCGUGCCGACUGUCAAACUCGAGGGCUGUAGAGGCAGACGGAAUUCCGGGUGUAGCGGUGGAAUGCGUAGAGAUGCGGAGGAACACCGAUGGCGAAGGCAGCCCCCUGGGCCGACAUUGACGCUGAGAAGCGAAAGCAUGGGGAGCGAACAGG